RNAcentral lists this ribosomal RNA (492 nucleotides) under uncultured bacterium. RNAcentral's name for it is "bacterial SSU rRNA". It matches the Rfam family "Bacterial small subunit ribosomal RNA", at positions 28 to 518 of the family's 1533-position model. The record is from RNAcentral.
GACGAACGCUGGCGGCGUGCCUAACACAUGCAAGUCGAACGGUAACAGGUCUUCGGAUGCUGACGAGUGGCGAACGGGUGAGUAAUACAUCGGAACGUGCCCGAUCGUGGGGGAUAACGCAGCGAAAGCUGUGCUAAUACCGCAUACGAUCUACGGAUGAAAGCGGGGGAUCGCAAGACCUCGCGCGGACGGAGCGGCCGAUGGCAGAUUAGGUAGUUGGUGGGAUAAAAGCUUACCAAGCCGACGAUCUGUAGCUGGUCUGAGAGGACGACCAGCCACACUGGGACUGAGACACGGCCCAGACUCCUACGGGAGGCAGCAGUGGGGAAUUUUGGACAAUGGGCGCAAGCCUGAUCCAGCCAUGCCGCGUGCAGGAUGAAGGCCUUCGGGUUGUAAACUGCUUUUGUACGGAACGAAAAGCUCUCUCUAAUACAGGGGUGAAUGACGGUACCGUAAGAAUAAGCACCGGCUAACUACGUGCCAGCAGCCGAC